RNAcentral lists this ribosomal RNA (71 nucleotides) under Erysipelotrichaceae bacterium. Its description in RNAcentral is "partial 23S ribosomal RNA". Lineage: Bacteria; Bacillati; Bacillota; Erysipelotrichia; Erysipelotrichales; Erysipelotrichaceae. The record is from RNAcentral.
GAUAGGUCAGAGAUGGAAGUGUAGCGAUACAUGGAGUUGACUGAUACUAAUAGGUCGAGGACUUAAUCACA